Molecule: ribosomal RNA, 492 nt
Filed under: uncultured bacterium
Lineage: Bacteria
Description: partial 16S ribosomal RNA
Rfam family: Bacterial small subunit ribosomal RNA
Source: RNAcentral
AGUGAACGCUGGCGGUAGGCCUAACAUAUGCAAGUCGAACGGCAGCACAGUAAGAGCUUGCUCUUACGGGUGGCGAGUGGCGGACGGGUGAGGAAUACAUCGGAAUCUACUUUUUCGUGGGGGAUAACGUAGGGAAACUUACGCUAAUACCGCAUACGACCUACGGGUGAAAGCAGGGGAUCUUCGGACCUUGCGCGAUUGAAUGAGCCGAUGUCGGAUUAGCUAGUUGGCGGGGUAAAGGCCCACCAAGGCGACGAUCCGUAGCUGGUCUGAGAGGAUGAUCAGCCACACUGGAACUGAGACACGGUCCAGACUCCUACGGGAGGCAGCAGUGGGGAAUAUUGGACAAUGGGCGCAAGCCUGAUCCAGCCAUACCGCGUGGGUGAAGAAGGCCUUCGGGUUGUAAAGCCCUUUUGUUGGGAAAGAAAAGCAGCAGGCUAAUACCCCGCUGUUCUGACGGUACCCAAAGAAUAAGCACCGGCUAACUUCGUG